Molecule: ribosomal RNA, 1541 nt
Filed under: Vibrio alginolyticus
Lineage: Bacteria; Pseudomonadati; Pseudomonadota; Gammaproteobacteria; Vibrionales; Vibrionaceae
Also listed under: 1 other name
Description: 16S ribosomal RNA
Rfam family: Bacterial small subunit ribosomal RNA
Source: RNAcentral
AGAGUUUGAUCAUGGCUCAGAUUGAACGCUGGCGGCAGGCCUAACACAUGCAAGUCGAGCGGAAACGAGUUAUCUGAACCUUCGGGGAACGAUAACGGCGUCGAGCGGCGGACGGGUGAGUAAUGCCUAGGAAAUUGCCCUGAUGUGGGGGAUAACCAUUGGAAACGAUGGCUAAUACCGCAUGAUGCCUACGGGCCAAAGAGGGGGACCUUCGGGCCUCUCGCGUCAGGAUAUGCCUAGGUGGGAUUAGCUAGUUGGUGAGGUAAGGGCUCACCAAGGCGACGAUCCCUAGCUGGUCUGAGAGGAUGAUCAGCCACACUGGAACUGAGACACGGUCCAGACUCCUACGGGAGGCAGCAGUGGGGAAUAUUGCACAAUGGGCGCAAGCCUGAUGCAGCCAUGCCGCGUGUAUGAAGAAGGCCUUCGGGUUGUAAAGUACUUUCAGUCGUGAGGAAGGUAGUGUAGUUAAUAGCUGCAUUAUUUGACGUUAGCGACAGAAGAAGCACCGGCUAACUCCGUGCCAGCAGCCGCGGUAAUACGGAGGGUGCGAGCGUUAAUCGGAAUUACUGGGCGUAAAGCGCAUGCAGGUGGUUUGUUAAGUCAGAUGUGAAAGCCCGGGGCUCAACCUCGGAAUAGCAUUUGAAACUGGCAGACUAGAGUACUGUAGAGGGGGGUAGAAUUUCAGGUGUAGCGGUGAAAUGCGUAGAGAUCUGAAGGAAUACCGGUGGCGAAGGCGGCCCCCUGGACAGAUACUGACACUCAGAUGCGAAAGCGUGGGGAGCAAACAGGAUUAGAUACCCUGGUAGUCCACGCCGUAAACGAUGUCUACUUGGAGGUUGUGGCCUUGAGCCGUGGCUUUCGGAGCUAACGCGUUAAGUAGACCGCCUGGGGAGUACGGUCGCAAGAUUAAAACUCAAAUGAAUUGACGGGGGCCCGCACAAGCGGUGGAGCAUGUGGUUUAAUUCGAUGCAACGCGAAGAACCUUACCUACUCUUGACAUCCAGAGAACUUUCCAGAGAUGGAUUGGUGCCUUCGGGAACUCUGAGACAGGUGCUGCAUGGCUGUCGUCAGCUCGUGUUGUGAAAUGUUGGGUUAAGUCCCGCAACGAGCGCAACCCUUAUCCUUGUUUGCCAGCGAGUAAUGUCGGGAACUCCAGGGAGACUGCCGGUGAUAAACCGGAGGAAGGUGGGGACGACGUCAAGUCAUCAUGGCCCUUACGAGUAGGGCUACACACGUGCUACAAUGGCGCAUACAGAGGGCGGCCAACUUGCGAAAGUGAGCGAAUCCCAAAAAGUGCGUCGUAGUCCGGAUUGGAGUCUGCAACUCGACUCCAUGAAGUCGGAAUCGCUAGUAAUCGUGGAUCAGAAUGCCACGGUGAAUACGUUCCCGGGCCUUGUACACACCGCCCGUCACACCAUGGGAGUGGGCUGCAAAAGAAGUAGGUAGUUUAACCUUCGGGGGGACGCUUACCACUUUGUGGUUCAUGACUGGGGUGAAGUCGUAACAAGGUAGCGCUAGGGGAACCUGGCGCUGGAUCACCU